UUUGAUCAUGGCUCAGAUUGAACGCUGGCGGCAUGCCUUACACAUGCAAGUCGAACGGCAGCACGGGGGCAACCCUGGUGGCGAGUGGCGAACGGGUGAGUAAUACAUCGGAACGUGUCCUGUAGUGGGGGAUAGCCCGGCGAAAGCCGGAUUAAUACCGCAUACGCUCUACGGAGGAAAGGGGGGGAUCUUAGGACCUCUCGCUACAGGGGCGGCCGAUGGCAGAUUAGCUAGUUGGUGGGGUAAAGGCCUACCAAGGCGACGAUCUGUAGCUGGUCUGAGAGGACGACCAGCCACACUGGGACUGAGACACGGCCCAGACUCCUACGGGAGGCAGCAGUGGGGAAUUUUGGACAAUGGGCGCAAGCCUGAUCCAGCAAUGCCGCGUGUGUGAAGAAGGCCUUCGGGUUGUAAAGCACUUUUGUCCGGAAAGAAAACGUCGUGGUUAAUACCCGU
Molecule: ribosomal RNA, 456 nt
Filed under: Burkholderia sp. 4i
Lineage: Bacteria; Pseudomonadati; Pseudomonadota; Betaproteobacteria; Burkholderiales; Burkholderiaceae
Description: SSU rRNA
Rfam family: Bacterial small subunit ribosomal RNA
Source: RNAcentral